Capsicum annuum is the source of this 770-nucleotide long non-coding RNA. RefSeq lists it as uncharacterized. The record is from RefSeq and is a predicted model, not a curated record. Lineage: Eukaryota; Viridiplantae; Streptophyta; Magnoliopsida; Solanales; Solanaceae. The transcript is spliced from 3 exons.
ACGUACCAAAUGAGUAUGCCUUUUGGAAUAAUUCUUUUUACCUUUGCUUGAAAAGGAAUUCGAAGCUCGAAAUUAUGGCUAGCAGACAAGGUGGACUUUACCUGCCUUUUCAUGGUAUUUAAUCAAACAGAUUCAAUUUCUACAAUCAACUCUGACUUCAAUUCACUUCAAAUUUUCUAUCAGCAACUUUGGAGGAUUUCUAGCAAUCAGUGUUGAGAAAAGGUUUUCAUGCACUAUUUCGAUGAACAGAUGCAUUAUUUCCAUAAACAGAUGCACUGUUCCAAUGAACAGAUGCACUGUUACAGCAAACAGAUGCACUGUUCCAGUGAACUGAUGCACUAUUUCAGCAAACUGAUGCAAUGUUUUGAUGAAAGGACACAAUGUUUCACACGAACUGGAGAAUUCUGAGUCAUGGUGAUCUUAUAAAUUUCUGGUAUCAUUUAUUAGAUUACUUUCUUUUCUGCGAAGACUGAAGAAAAGAAGCCUUUAAGCAAAGCAGUUACAAUCCUAGGUGCUAAGAGUACUACUGAUGAAAGACAGCAACGUAUAAGUCUCCCCUUCAAAGUUACGUAAUACUGUAUUUUUGCUGAUGGAUCACAAAUAUCUUUCCAAAAAAUGGAGAAAAAAAGAAGACAGACUUAGCCUAUCAGCAAUUAAUAUGAUGCAUAUUUGUAGACUGUAUUUGCGAAUGCUUUAUUACCCUCAAUGGUUUAACUCUAUCUAGGAAAUACGUAUAAAAAAACUUUUCUAUAAUCAGAAAAAACUUAACC